GAAGUGCGAAACGUGUCAUGACUUGCAGAUUCCCGAGAGCUGACGAAUCUCUGAAUGCAAAUGGCGGCCGCUUGACUCGGCCAUGGAUUGCAGAGUGUAGUGGUUCCAACUCCUCAUCCAAUCGCAACACCGAUUGCGAUUGCAUCUGCGCUUGCAAACCAAAUCGCGAGCGUUAAAAGGCGAGUUGAGGGGCUCUCAUCCCGAGGGCCUCUUAACUACGGAAUAUGUACACUUGUUGUGCGUCGGCGCUAAGCCAUUCAUUUGGCCGGCGCUGCUGUGCAACAAACCACCAAAUUCCACACACGCAAAACAAAUAAUUUCAACCCCACCUCUGCAAUGCAGGAUUACCCGCUGAACUUAA
This 361-nucleotide unclassified non-coding RNA is filed under the name uncultured fungus. Its description in RNAcentral is "sequence contains ITS1". The stretch from base 1 to 100 matches the Rfam family "5.8S ribosomal RNA", at positions 50 to 154 of the family's 154-position model. Lineage: Eukaryota; Fungi. The record is from RNAcentral.